UAAUUGAAGAGUUUGAUCAUGGCUCAGAUUGAACGCUGGCGGCAGGCCUAACACAUGCAAGUCGGGCGGUAACAGAGAGAAGCUUGCUUCUCUGCUGACGAGCGGCGGACGGGUGAGUAAUGUAUGGGGAUCUGCCUGAUGGCGGGGGAUAACUACUGGAAACGGUAGCUAAUACCGCAUAAUGUCUUCGGACCAAAGCGGGGGACCUCCGGGCCUCGCGCCAUCAGAUGAACCCAU
This 237-nucleotide ribosomal RNA is filed under the name Morganella morganii. RNAcentral's name for it is "partial 16S ribosomal RNA". It matches the Rfam family "Bacterial small subunit ribosomal RNA", at positions 1 to 234 of the family's 1533-position model. Lineage: Bacteria; Pseudomonadati; Pseudomonadota; Gammaproteobacteria; Enterobacterales; Morganellaceae. The record is from RNAcentral.